CGCACCUUGGUGAGGAUCAAUGAGAUGGAGUGAGAGAAUUGGUUUGGGGCUUAUAAGUCAAAAUCAACAUUUACCAAGCGUGGCCUUAACCAAUGGGACAAGUAGUCGUCCCAUUGGCUAUCAGUGAGCAACAGUGGUGUUCGCGCCUUAUUGCGUGUCAUGCAUGAGCGAAAGCAGCCAUGUCACACGCUCUGUGCUUACAAGCUGUCUGCCACGUGCAAGCAUUGUUGUGUUAUGCACUGCUCACACAGUUGCUCGCAAGGUGGGCGCAAUGUGCUGCUCGUGGGUCGUAGGUCCAGUUUCCAUGCCGUUGAUUUUUCUUGUCAUUUUUCUUCUGAAAUUUUUGUUAGUUCAGAUAUUAUUUU
RNAcentral lists this long non-coding RNA (365 nucleotides) under Carica papaya (papaya). RNAcentral describes it as "long non-coding RNA (CPAP_LNC007909)". The record is from RNAcentral. Lineage: Eukaryota; Viridiplantae; Streptophyta; Magnoliopsida; Brassicales; Caricaceae.